AAUAAGGUGCCUGAUGAUGAAAAGGAUUAUUUUGAUAGAAUAAAACAUGUAUAUUUUACCCUUAUUA
Molecule: transfer RNA, 67 nt
Filed under: Sclomina erinacea
Lineage: Eukaryota; Metazoa; Arthropoda; Insecta; Hemiptera; Reduviidae
Description: tRNA-Ile
Source: RNAcentral